GUGCAUCUGUUGGUCACAGGUGAAAUGGUGUA
Molecule: non-coding RNA, 32 nt
Filed under: Homo sapiens (human)
Lineage: Eukaryota; Metazoa; Chordata; Mammalia; Primates; Hominidae
Source: RNAcentral